CAAGGUAUAGCUUAAACAAAGCACUUUAUUUACACCAAAAAAAUAUUUAUUAACAUAAAUUACCUUGA
Molecule: transfer RNA, 68 nt
Filed under: Ensatina eschscholtzii (common Ensatina)
Lineage: Eukaryota; Metazoa; Chordata; Amphibia; Caudata; Plethodontidae
Description: tRNA-Val
Source: RNAcentral